Molecule: ribosomal RNA, 494 nt
Filed under: uncultured bacterium
Lineage: Bacteria
Description: partial 16S ribosomal RNA
Rfam family: Bacterial small subunit ribosomal RNA
Source: RNAcentral
AAUGAACGCUGGCGGCGUGCUUAACACAUGCAAGUCGAACGAGAAAGUCCUUCGGGGCUAGUAAAGUGGCAAACGGGUGAGUAACGCGUGAGAAUUUACCUUUUAGUGAAGGAUACUCCCGAGAAAUCGGGGUUAAUACUGCAUACGUCUCUACGGAGAGAAAGGCGGCCUCUUUGCUGUCGCUAAAGAUAAGCUUGCGUCCUAUUAGCUAGUUGGUGUGGUAAAGGCGCACCAAGGCAAUGAUGGGUAACCGGCCUGAGAGGGUGUACGGUCACACUGGAACUGAGACACGGUCCAGACUCCUACGGGAGGCAGCAGUGGGGAAUAUUGCACAAUGGGCGAAAGCCUGAUGCAGCGACGCCGCGUGGAGGAAGAAGGUCUUCGGAUUGUAAACUCCUGUUAAAUGGGAAGAAAGACUUCUGGUUAAUACCCAGAGGGGAUGACGGUACCAUUAGAGAAAGCUCCGGCUAACUUUGUGCCAGCAGCCGCCGUAA